RNAcentral lists this ribosomal RNA (501 nucleotides) under uncultured bacterium. RNAcentral describes it as "partial 16S ribosomal RNA". It matches the Rfam family "Bacterial small subunit ribosomal RNA", at positions 28 to 523 of the family's 1533-position model. The record is from RNAcentral.
GACGAACGCUGGCGGCGUGCUUAACACAUGCAAGUCGAACGGCAGCACGGGUGCUUGCACCUGGUGGCGAGUGGCGAACGGGUGAGUAAUACAUCGGAACGUACCUUAUCGUGGGGGAUAACGCAGCGAAAGUUGCGCUAAUACCGCAUACGCCCUGAGGGGGAAAGCGGGGGACCGUAAGGCCUCGCGCGAUUAGAGCGGCCGAUGUCUGAUUAGCUUGUUGGUGAGGUAAAAGCUCACCAAGGCGAUGAUCAGUAGCUGGUCUGAGAGGACGAUCAGCCACACUGGGACUGAGACACGGCCCAGACUCCUACGGGAGGCAGCAGUGGGGAAUUUUUGACAAUGGGGGCAACCCUGAUCCAGCAAUGCCGCGUGAGUGAAGAAGGCCUUCGGGUUGUAAAGCUCUUUUGUCAGGGAAGAAACAGCAGCUCUAACACAGUCUGCGAAUGACGGUACCUGAAGAAUAAGCACCGGCUAACUACGUGCCAGCCGCCGCAGUAA